This 484-nucleotide ribosomal RNA is filed under the name uncultured bacterium. Its description in RNAcentral is "partial 16S ribosomal RNA". It matches the Rfam family "Bacterial small subunit ribosomal RNA", at positions 30 to 507 of the family's 1533-position model. The record is from RNAcentral.
AUUGAACGCUGGCGGCAGGCCUAACACAUGCAAGUCGAGCGGAUGAAGGGAGCUUGCUCCUGGAUUCAGCGGCGGACGGGUGAGUAAUGCCUAGGAAUCUGCCUGGUAGUGGGGGAUAACGUCCGGAAACGGGCGCUAAUACCGCAUACGUCCUGAGGGAGAAAGUGGGGGAUCUUCGGACCUCACGCUAUCAGAUGAGCCUAGGUCGGAUCAGCUAGUUGGUGGGGUAAAGGCCUACCAAGGCGACGAUCCGUAACUGGUCUGAGAGGAUGAUCAGUCACACUGGAACUGAGACACGGUCCAGACUCCUACGGGAGGCAGCAGUGGGGAAUAUUGGACAAUGGGCGAAAGCCUGAUCCAGCCAUGCCGCGUGUGUGAAGAAGGUCUUCGGAUUGUAAAGCACUUUAAGUCGGGAGGAAGGGCAGUAAGUUAAUACCUUGCUGUUUUGACGUUACCAACAGAAUAAGCACCGGCUAACUUCGUG